ACGCUGGCGGCGUGCUUAACACAUGCAAGUCGAACGAUGAAGCCUAGCUUGCUAGGUGGAUUAGUGGCGAACGGGUGAGUAAUACGUGAGUAACCUACCUUUAACUCUGGGAUAAGCCUGGGAAACUGGGUCUAAUACCGGAUACGACCAAUCUCCGCAUGGGGUGUUGGUGGAAAGCGUUAUGUAGUGGUUAUAGAUGGGCUCACGGCCUAUCAGCUUGUUGGUGAGGUAACGGCUCACCAAGGCGACGACGGGUAGCCGGCCUGAGAGGGUGACCGGCCACACUGGGACUGAGACACGGCCCAGACUCCUACGGGAGGCAGCAGUGGGGAAUAUUGCACAAUGGGCGCAAGCCUGAUGCAGCGACGCCGCGUGAGGGAUGACGGCCUUCGGGUUGUAAACCUCUGUUAGCAGGGAAGAAGAGAAAUUGACGGUACCUGCAGAGAAAGCGCCGGCUAACUACGUGCCAGCAGCCGCGGUAAUACGUAGGGCGCGAGCGUUGUCCGGAAUUAUUGGGCGUAGAGAGCUUGUAGGCGGUUUGUCGCGUCUGCUGUGAAAGGCCGGGGCUUAACCCCGUGUAUUGCAGUGGGUACGGGCAGACUAGAGUGCAGUAGGGGAGACUGGAAUUCCUGGUGUAGCGGUGGAAUGCGCAGAUAUCAGGAGGAACACCGAUGGCGAAGGCAGGUCUCUGGGCUGUAACUGACGCUGAGAAGCGAAAGCAUGGGGAGCGAACAGGAUUAGAUACCCUGGUAGUCCAUGCCGUAAACGUUGGGCACUAGGUGUGGGGGACAUUCCACGUUUUCCGCGCCGUAGCUAACGCAUUAAGUGCCCCGCCUGGGGAGUACGGCCGCAAGGCUAAAACUCAAAGAAAUUGACGGGGGCCCGCACAAGCGGCGGAGCAUGCGGAUUAAUUCGAUGCAACGCGAA
RNAcentral lists this ribosomal RNA (927 nucleotides) under uncultured bacterium. RNAcentral describes it as "bacterial SSU rRNA". It matches the Rfam family "Bacterial small subunit ribosomal RNA", at positions 33 to 965 of the family's 1533-position model. The record is from RNAcentral.